Molecule: long non-coding RNA, 314 nt
Filed under: Bos taurus (domestic cattle)
Lineage: Eukaryota; Metazoa; Chordata; Mammalia; Artiodactyla; Bovidae
Description: long non-coding RNA NONBTAT015567
Source: RNAcentral
AGCUCCAAUGAGCUUAGGGGCAAAUGAAUGGCAAAGAAGGAAAGUCAUUGGCCUCGUGUCUGGAUGAAUGAGGACUGCAUCCUAUCAUACCAAGGUAUUGACUCAGUCAGCAACCUUAACUCACACUCUGUAUUUUGCUUGGUUACCCAUAUGGCCAACUGACUACUGACUCUAGAGAGUAACACUAAAACUAAGGGGCUAAUCAAUUCUUAGAUGAAAUUCUUCCAGUUCCCUUGUCUUUCAGAGUCAGGGCUAUCCCUUUAUGCAAUGACCAUUGAGCAAAAACGGAGACAGCAGCAUUUGGAGUCUGUGGU